GAUUUUGUGUCUUUGUAUAAUAAAAGAAAACGACUUGCUCCUGCUCCAGUGGGACCAAAUGUGAUGAGAACCAGGGAAGGAGAAUACGAAGACAGUGACAGUGUAAUUUAUGAGUAUGAACCAGAUUAUGAAUGUGGGAGUGUUGUGUCCGAAGCUUCCUACAUUGGAGAUCAGCAGAAAACACUUACGGAAGUUCUAAGUUAUUGCCAGGUAAUGUAUGAUUCCAUACAGAAACUGGAUAAAAAACUUGACCUGCUUCACUGAAAGGUCUCAGAAAUGCAGCAUACCUGUGCUAGGCCACUGUUGCUCAAACCUGUGAGUAUUAAAGAACUGAGAAAUUCAUUUUUGCCUUUAAUUCUUCUGAUGCUUAUUUUUUAAAAAAAUCCUCUUCUGUCACUAAGAACAAAAUUAGUAGCAAUCUGUAAGUGUAGAUUCCAUUUCAGUUAAUUUUAUUUAGAUUUCUUAUUAUAUACUAUUUAUGCUUCUGUGUUGUUACCAAAUACAGUGUACUGUCUUGUUGGUUUCUGGAAUUAGAGGAGAGUUUAUGCAUCACAGAAUCCACACAGGCUGGUUCUAUUAGUUCAUUGAUUUUUAGGUCUCUACAGUGUGUUUUCAUCUCCAUUGCAGUACCGAAUUGUAUUUUUCUAAUAAAAUGCCUUUAUGCCAAAUUUUUAAGAAGACACAAUACUGAGUGCAUUAUCCUUUUUGUUCUCGUGUGGUUAAUCCUCUGUUAACUAAAGGGACAGAAUAUUAGUACUUAUGACUAAGUACACAUGCUCUUUAAAGGGAAAACCAGGUAAUUUUUGAAGAAGGUUAUGAAUUCUCUAAUGACCUUUCUUUGUCAACAAUAUUGCAAAGCUUUUAAUGUGACAGAAGUGAUUCUGGUGUCAAGAAAUGUCAAGAGAUCAGUAAGGCUAUUUGCAUCAAGGGUGAGUAAAAGUGAUGUUGUUCUUGUGCUUGUUAGUUAUUAAUACUAUAUU
Numida meleagris (helmeted guineafowl) is the source of this 980-nucleotide long non-coding RNA. RefSeq lists it as uncharacterized. The record is from RefSeq and is a predicted model, not a curated record. NCBI's taxonomy places the organism in Eukaryota, Metazoa, Chordata, Aves, Galliformes, Numididae. The transcript has 4 exons.